This 253-nucleotide ribosomal RNA is filed under the name uncultured bacterium. RNAcentral describes it as "partial 16S ribosomal RNA". It matches the Rfam family "Bacterial small subunit ribosomal RNA", at positions 524 to 776 of the family's 1533-position model. The record is from RNAcentral.
UACGGGGGGGGCAAGCGUUGUUCGGAUUUACUGGGCGUAAAGGGCGCGUAGGCGGCGUAACAAGUCACUUGUGAAAUCUCCGGGCUUAACCCGGAGCGGCCAAGUGAUACUGUUGUGCUAGAGUGCGGAAGGGGCUACUGGAAUUCUCGGUGUAGCGGUGAAAUGCGUAGAUAUCGGGAAGAACACCCGUGGCGAAGGCGGUUCUCUGGGACGGUACUGACGCUGAGACGCGAAAGCGUGGGGAGCGAACAGG